Molecule: ribosomal RNA, 478 nt
Filed under: uncultured bacterium
Lineage: Bacteria
Description: partial 16S ribosomal RNA
Rfam family: Bacterial small subunit ribosomal RNA
Source: RNAcentral
GAUGAACGCUGGCGGCGUGCUUAACACAUGCAAGUCGAACGAGAAAUGGAGACGGAAACCUUCGGGCGGAAGGCUUCAUUUCGAGUGGCGGACGGGUGAGUAACGCGUGGGUAACCUGCCUCAUACAGGGGGAUAACAGUUGGAAACGACUGUUAAUACCGCAUAAGACCACAGCACCGCAUGGUGCGGGGGUAAAAACUCCGGUGGUAUGAGAUGGACCCGCGUUCGAUUAGCCAGUUGGCGGGGUAACGGCCCACCAAAGCGACGAUCGAUAGCCGAUCUGAGAGGAUGACCGGCCACAUUGGGACUGAGACACGGCCCAAACUCCUACGGGAGGCAGCAGUGGGGAAUAUUGCAAAAUGGGGGAAACCCUGAUGCAGCGACGCCGCGUGAGUGAAGAAGUACUUCGGUAUGUAAAGCUCUAUCAGCAGGGAAGAAAAUGACGGUACCUGAGUAAGAAGCCCCGGCUAACUACGUG